GUUAACGAGCCCUGAAGAUUAAGAAAGGCGGAGGAAGGACACGGAGGAUAAAAAGGAGGAGGAAGAACGAAGAGAGGAAAUGAGAGAUAAAGAAAAUAAGGGAAACUGGAUAAAGAUAAUAAAUAAAAAGAGAAAAUGGUGGAGAGAAUAAAUAAAUAACGGAAUGGAAGACAAAAAAAGAUAAUAUGGAAGACAGGGACGGUGGCCGGGUGGUUAGCGUGCGGGCGUGGUGAGCAACGUUACCAUAUUGUCGUACUCAGCCUCCUCUGUUUGCUGAUUUCCGACCUAAAAAUUGUCUCCUCCACCCCCAAAACUGGCUUCAUAUAAAAUUAUCGAUAAAAUGGUUAAUUAUUGGUAUUUCUUGGCAACAUUUAUGGGCCAGAAACCGGUAAAUACGGGGCUCUGAGUACGAUAAUCUGGCAACGGUGGUAGUGAGCUCGUGAACCAAGGUUAGAGUCCCAUCGAAACACACUGCUCGGUAUUAUAAGUCAAUUUCUCUUCUCAUGUCAGCUAUUUCUCAAGGUCAAAGAAGGGGUCACUCGGGUUUUAAUGAGUGUUUUUUCAGUUUCGGAGUACAGAGGAAGGGUCACACUACCACCAGGGUCAUAAAACUACCCCUGGAAAUGCCCACAACUCCUACGAAAGCCUUGUCAAAUAUGUGUUUCUUUAGGUUCACGGUACAGAAGAAGGGUCAAACUACCACCAGGGUCAUAAAACUACUCCUGGAAAUGCCCACAACUCCUACGAAAGCCUUGUCAAAUAUGUGUUUCUUUAGGUUCACGGUACAGAAGAAGGGUCAAACUACCACCAGGGUCAUAAAACUACCCCUGGAAAUGCACACAACUCCUACGAAAGCCUUGUCAAAUAUGUGUUUCUUUAGGUUCACGGUACAGAAGAAGGGUCAAACUACCACCAGGGUCAUAAAACUACUCCUGGAAAUGCCCACAACUCCUACGAAAGCCUUGUCAAAUAUGUGUUUCUUUAGGUUCACGGUACAGAAGAAGGGUCACACUACCACCAGGGUCAUAAAACUACUCCUGGAAAUGCCCACAAC
This is a long non-coding RNA of Eriocheir sinensis (Chinese mitten crab), 1054 nucleotides long. RefSeq lists it as uncharacterized. NCBI's taxonomy places the organism in Eukaryota, Metazoa, Arthropoda, Malacostraca, Decapoda, Varunidae. The transcript has 2 exons. The record is from RefSeq and is a predicted model, not a curated record.